Molecule: long non-coding RNA, 709 nt
Organism: Cynoglossus semilaevis (tongue sole)
Lineage: Eukaryota; Metazoa; Chordata; Actinopteri; Pleuronectiformes; Cynoglossidae
Exons: 3
Source: RefSeq, a predicted model, not a curated record
UACCACUGAGAUGCACUGAGCAUGCCUCCGUCAUCACACACUGCUGCCCACUGUUCACUUUGGUGAUGGGGUAAAAACAGAGGUCACAUUUGGUUGUCCCUGCUGCGUCAGAAUGCAGUGACCCGUUCAAAAACAGAUGAAAUGGUCAAACCGUUUUAUAGACAGUAGAAACUCUCAGUGGUUUGAACACAGACAUGGGAAAACAUGCAACAGUGACUAACAAAAAACCAGAGCGUUGGCUGCAAAAUGUUCAAAGUAGUAAAGCACAGUGGACUCUUAUCUACAUUAGGUGCAGACAGGGGGCGUCGCUACACACCAGGGAAGAGGCCGUGUCUAGAGAAGUUCAGUCAUUUUGUCAUUGAGGUAUGGACCAAUGUCAGCCGUCGCUCGACUCGGCCCCUUCCAGCUGGCCAAUUGCCUGGGUUUCCUGCCCCGUUGUGACGCCCCAGAGUGCACAGCACGGAGGACCUGCCUGUACUGUAUUACAUUGCUCAAACAGGAACGGCUUGUCCCGCGCCUCGAAAUGUGAAGAGUUUUCCUCCACGAGGACAGGGUGGAUGCAGAACCUUUAAAGGCUCAUGACUGAGUUUCUAUGGAACUGGUCUGUAGUCCUGGCACUGGUUUCCAGUCAGAUGGCGGUCACAGGUGAGUGAGUAUCUGAUCUCUAUUCCCCCUCUUUGGACUGAACAGAUAAAAGUGUGUGACCCCU